CCUUUAGCUCAGUUGGUUAGAGCAACCGGCUCAUAACCGGUAGGUCCCGGGUUCGAGUCCCCGA
This 64-nucleotide transfer RNA is filed under the name Massilioclostridium coli. It matches the Rfam family "tRNA", at positions 7 to 64 of the family's 71-position model. Rfam says of the family: Transfer RNA (tRNA) molecules are approximately 80 nucleotides in length. Their secondary structure includes four short double-helical elements and three loops (D, anti-codon, and T loops). Lineage: Bacteria; Bacillati; Bacillota; Clostridia; Eubacteriales; Clostridiaceae. The record is from RNAcentral.